RNAcentral lists this long non-coding RNA (319 nucleotides) under Polistes fuscatus (common paper wasp). Its description in RNAcentral is "uncharacterized LOC122513516". The record is from RNAcentral. Lineage: Eukaryota; Metazoa; Arthropoda; Insecta; Hymenoptera; Vespidae.
AUUGUCGCUAUUUCUUAGCUGCUGAUAUUUGCCAGCCCGGAAGGACGCUUCCUUUCCGAGAAAAAGAAGUUUCUUAAUGAAACGUGGUUUACUUGGUGGCCGAUUAUCGGUCGGCUACCGCAAUUUCUUGGGUGUCAUGUUGAAGUGAACGUAUUUAUACGUUCGUUAGUUCGUUCGUACCCGUAGAGGUUUACUGUUACCAACAGAACUUCCGUAAAAAUAAAUUUCAACGAAAUGAAAAUUCAUGGGCGUCAGCGAAAUGCUGAAUUUAUCAUGAAAUCGAUGCUUUCGUAAGAGAAUAUUGUGGAAAUAUAUACGA